UUCUGUUCUCUAAAAAUCAAC
Molecule: non-coding RNA, 21 nt
Filed under: Caenorhabditis elegans
Lineage: Eukaryota; Metazoa; Nematoda; Chromadorea; Rhabditida; Rhabditidae
Source: RNAcentral